RNAcentral lists this ribosomal RNA (490 nucleotides) under uncultured bacterium. RNAcentral describes it as "partial 16S ribosomal RNA". It matches the Rfam family "Bacterial small subunit ribosomal RNA", at positions 30 to 507 of the family's 1533-position model. The record is from RNAcentral.
AUUGAACGCUGGCGGCAGGCCUAACACAUGCAAGUCGAACGGUAACAGGAAGCAGCUUGCUGCUUCGCUGACGAGUGGCGGACGGGUGAGUCAUGUCUGUGAAGCUGCCUGAUGGAGGGGGAUAACUACUGGAAACGGUAGCUAAUACCGCAUAAUGUCGCAAGACCAAAGAGGGGGACCUUCGGGCCUCUUGCCAUCGGAUGUGCCCAGAUGGGAUUAGCUUGUUGGUGGGGUAACGGCUCACCAAGGCGACGAUCCCUAGCUGGUCUGAGAGGAUGACCAGCCACACUGGAACUGAGACACGGUCCAGACUCCUACGGGAGGCAGCAGUGGGGAAUAUUGCACAAUGGGCGCAAGCCUGAUGCAGCCAUGCCGCGUGUAUGAAGAAGGCCUUCGGGUUGUAAAGUACUUUCAGCGGGGAGGAAGGGAGUAAAGUUAAUACCUUCGCUCAUUGACGUUACCCGCAGAAGAAGCACCGGCUAACUCCGUG